CGGACGGGUGAGUAACGCGUGGGUAACCUGCCUCAUACAGGGGGAUAACAGUUAGAAAUGACUGCUAAUACCGCAUAAGCGCACAGGAUUGCAUGAUCCGGUGUGAAAAACUCCGGUGGUAUGAGAUGGACCCGCGUCUGAUUAGCUAGUUGGUGGGGUAACGGCCCACCAAGGCGACGAUCAGUAGCCGACCUGAGAGGGUGACCGGCCACAUUGGGACUGAGACACGGCCCAAACUCCUACGGAAGGCAGCAG
RNAcentral lists this ribosomal RNA (255 nucleotides) under uncultured bacterium. Its description in RNAcentral is "partial 16S ribosomal RNA". It matches the Rfam family "Bacterial small subunit ribosomal RNA", at positions 99 to 354 of the family's 1533-position model. The record is from RNAcentral.